Molecule: ribosomal RNA, 678 nt
Filed under: uncultured Lachnospiraceae bacterium
Lineage: Bacteria; Bacillati; Bacillota; Clostridia; Lachnospirales; Lachnospiraceae
Description: bacterial SSU rRNA
Rfam family: Bacterial small subunit ribosomal RNA
Source: RNAcentral
AGUCGAACGAAACACCUUAUUUGAUUUUCUUCGGAACUGAAGAUUUGGUGAUUGAGUGGCGGACGGGUGAGUAACGCGUGGGUAACCUGCCCUGUACAGGGGGAUAACAGUCAGAAAUGACUGCUAAUACCGCAUAAGACCACAGCACCGCAUGGUGCAGGGGUAAAAACUCCGGUGGUACAGGAUGGACCCGCGUCUGAUUAGCUGGUUGGUGAGGUAACGGCUCACCAAGGCGACGAUCAGUAGCCGGCUUGAGAGAGUGAACGGCCACAUUGGGACUGAGACACGGCCCAAACUCCUACGGGAGGCAGCAGUGGGGAAUAUUGCACAAUGGGGGAAACCCUGAUGCAGCGACGCCGCGUGAGUGAAGAAGUAUCUCGGUAUGUAAAGCUCUAUCAGCAGGGAAGAUAAUGACGGUACCUGACUAAGAAGCCCCGGCUAACUACGUGCCAGCAGCCGCGGUAAUACGUAGGGGGCAAGCGUUAUCCGGAUUUACUGGGUGUAAAGGGAGCGUAGACGGCGCAGCAAGUCUGAAGUGAAAGCCCGGGGCUUAACCCCGGGACUGCUUUGGAAACUGUAGGGCUAGAGUGCAGGAGAGGUAAGUGGAAUUCCUAGUGUAGCGGUGAAAUGCGUAGAUAUUAGGAGGAACACCAGUGGCGAAGGCGGCUUACUGGACUG